AUUACAAUAUAAGAAAUUCAUAGUACCUGGUAAAGACCAAGUUGCCCAUUCUUCAAAACCUGCCACCUGUCCAAAACAGGGGUAUUUGAUGUCCAAAAAAAUUGAAAUUGAACUAAAUGUUGAAGAAACUAAGCCAUAUUGAUGAGUAACUAAGCCAUUUUUAUGUUUUGUGAGACAAAAGGUAACCAGAUGUGCAAGCCAACCAAGCCAUUGUCCUGUUCCCAACUGAUCCAGUUUUGUCUCAAUGGCAAACUUUAUGUCACAUCACUACUUUUGCAAGGAAAGAAACAAAAAACUGUCCAAACUGAUUUUCUUCCCUCUCAAAGCAUCACUCUCACAGUAACCAACACAAAGUUAUUGGGAGCAAAUUCUCAAUUUCAAAUUUCAAAUUUCAAAUUAAACAAGGAUAUAUAUCACUCAAUACUCUCUCAUCAUUCUCUCCUUUACCUUUUAACUCUUCAAUCUCAUAUUUUUUUCAUUUAUCAUAUUUUGUAAUCUUCUCAAUUUACUAAUAUUGGUUUCCUAUUCUUCUUCUUUUUCUUUUUGCAGAAUAGGUGUUCUAAUGUUACAAGAAUAAAGUAAGCAAUGAAAUUCAUUUAUUCUUUACAAAGAUCUAUAAAAAGCAUAGGAAAACUCAACAUUAAUCUAAAACGUUGUGAAAGAGAAGAUAAUGAAAAUAAAAAAGAUGAAGGUUCCACUAAAUGAAAGUGAAGGGUUCCAAGAAAGAAGAGAAACGCCAGAAAUUAGAUUAGUCUCAAGGAGUAUAAAUAUUGAAAGUGCAAAAUGAGAAAGAGAUGGUGAGGGAUAUGCACGUGAAUGAAGACAGUGGCUUGAGAUCUAGAAAAUUUGUUUUAACUUCAGAUGUAGAAGAAAAACAAAUCUGUACCAAAAAAAAAAUCAACUCUUUCUCAUUCAUGAACUUAUUUUAUUUUAUAAGUUUUGAUUAUUUAACUUUUAUUUAUAUAGAAAAAGAAAGAAGAUGCAACAUAAGAAAAAUAUUAAAAAAAAAUUAUAUAAACUUAUUUAGAUAAGCAAAGAAAUAAAAUAAAAACUAAAUUACUACACGGGAAAGAAAAUAACAGAAACAUAUAAAGGUAAAUAAAAAAUAUACAUUAUUUUUCCUAUAAAUUUCACAGAUCCAAACAAAUAAAUAACAAAAAAAAAUUAUAUAAUUACAGUAGUGAAAUCAUGGGAAAUAUAUUCAAAAGAUUGGCAUAACUUCUACAAACAGAGGACAGAAAAACAAUUUACAAAGAUAAAAAAAAAAAUCAAACCAGAUAUGAUUUUUUCCCCUUUUGUUAUCUUUGAUCUUGCUUCUUGGAUGUAAAAGAAAAGUGGAGAAGAUGAAGUCCCACAAUGUUUACCGGCACGGUGGCCACCGACGAAGGUGUUCCGAUCUUAAAUUUUCUUUGUGGGUUUUGUAAAGGAGGUGAAGGAGAUUCUUUAUAUGGCGAUGGUAUUUCAAAAAAUUGUCUAUGGAGGUCAAGAUCUAGGAGAGAAAGUGGAAAUUAAGAUUUAAAACACAAAUCUGUGAAAGGGUGAAGAAAUAUAACAUAUUGGCCGUGAGAAGAAGAAGAAGAGAUGUUGAUGAAGGAGAGCUUAUCAUAAUGAAUGAAGAUGUUGAAAAAAAAUAAAAAAACAAA
Long non-coding RNA from Trifolium pratense (red clover), 1643 nucleotides. RefSeq lists it as uncharacterized. The record is from RefSeq and is a predicted model, not a curated record. The transcript has 3 exons. Lineage: Eukaryota; Viridiplantae; Streptophyta; Magnoliopsida; Fabales; Fabaceae.